UCGCCACCGCGUGCAGGGACGCGCGCGGACCGACUGAGCCCCACUUCCCGGGCAGGGACACCACGAUGAAAAGCUGAAACUAAAGAAGAGAAGUCCCUUUCUCUGAGAUGACUCAAGCCAUGCUAGGAUGCGAGUCGGGGCCAUCUGAUGCUUUUCCCUGCUCAAACCAGCUGCCCGGAGAGGACUCGGGGGAACCACAUCGAGGAGACGCUCAAGAUGAGGAAACUGAGGCCCAGACAAGUCACAUGCCUGAGGUCGCCCAGUUAGGAAGUGGUGGAGACAGGAUUUGAACCCGGACAG
Diceros bicornis minor is the source of this 300-nucleotide long non-coding RNA. RefSeq lists it as uncharacterized. The transcript is spliced from 3 exons. Lineage: Eukaryota; Metazoa; Chordata; Mammalia; Perissodactyla; Rhinocerotidae. The record is from RefSeq and is a predicted model, not a curated record.